UAUUAGGUUGGUGCAAAAGUAAUUGCGGUUUUUACCAUUAAUUUUAGUGACAAAAACCACAGUUACCUUUGCACCAACCGAAUAC
RNAcentral lists this microRNA precursor (85 nucleotides) under Macaca nemestrina (pig-tailed macaque). RNAcentral's name for it is "miRNA (ENSMNEG00000019826.1)". Lineage: Eukaryota; Metazoa; Chordata; Mammalia; Primates; Cercopithecidae. The record is from RNAcentral.